Molecule: ribosomal RNA, 274 nt
Filed under: uncultured Eubacteriales bacterium
Lineage: Bacteria; Bacillati; Bacillota; Clostridia; Eubacteriales
Description: uncultured Clostridiales bacterium partial 16S ribosomal RNA
Rfam family: Bacterial small subunit ribosomal RNA
Source: RNAcentral
AAGUUUUCGGAUGGAAGCUGGAUUGACUGAGUGGCGGACGGGUGAGUAACGCGUGGGUAACCUGCCUCACACUGGGGGACAACAGUUAGAAAUGACUGCUAAUACCGCAUAAGCGCACAGGACCGCAUGGUCUGGUGUGAAAAACUCCGGUGGUGUGAGAUGGACCCGCGUUUGAUUAGCUAGUUGGCAGGGUAACGGCCUACCAAAGCAACGAUCAGUAGCCGGCUUGAGAGAGUGAACGGCCACAUUGGGACUGAGACACGGCCCAAACUCC